AUGUUUGAUUGUGGAAGCAUACAACCUCCAUUUAAAAAAAUAUUAAAGUUUUCCUUUAUUAAUCUCAAAAUAUUUUUCUUUACUAUCUUCUUAUUUCGUUUUGCAAAAAACAUGGGCAUGCUUGGAAAUAUCUUAAAGAGGAAGAAGGCCCACUCAAUUGAGAAAGUUGCUUUAUCUCCAUCUCCGACUCUUACUACGUCCCCAAAUGAAAUGGAGGUGACCCCAAAAGAGACCAAGACUUUGUUUAUAGGUCAGUUGCAAACAUCUUAG
Molecule: non-coding RNA, 270 nt
Organism: Vicia faba (fava bean)
Lineage: Eukaryota; Viridiplantae; Streptophyta; Magnoliopsida; Fabales; Fabaceae
Source: the annotation of a GenBank genome assembly